This 253-nucleotide ribosomal RNA is filed under the name uncultured bacterium. RNAcentral's name for it is "partial 16S ribosomal RNA". It matches the Rfam family "Bacterial small subunit ribosomal RNA", at positions 524 to 776 of the family's 1533-position model. The record is from RNAcentral.
UACGGAGGAUCCAAGCGUUAUCCGGAAUCAUUGGGUUUAAAGGGUCCGUAGGCGGUUUUGUAAGUCAGUGGUGAAAGCCCAUCGCUCAACGGUGGAACGGCCAUUGAUACUGCAAGACUUGAAUUAUUAGGAAGUAACUAGAAUAUGUAGUGUAGCGGUGAAAUGCUUAGAGAUUACAUGGAAUACCAAUUGCGAAGGCAGGUUACUACUAAUACAUUGACGCUGAUGGACGAAAGCGUGGGGAGCGAACAGG